CCUACAUGAAGCUGGAGUUACUAGUAAUCGCAGAUCAGAAUGCUGCGGUGAAUGCGUUCCCGGGUCUUGUACACACCGCCCGUCACACCACGGGAGUUGGAGACGCCCGAAGCCGAUUAUCUAACCUUGUGGAAGAAGUCGUCGAAGGUGGAAUCAAUAACUGGGGUGAAGUCGUAACAAGGUAGCCGUAUCGGAAGGUGCGGCUGGAUCACCUCCUUUCUAAGGAGA
This 228-nucleotide ribosomal RNA is filed under the name Clostridioides difficile. Its description in RNAcentral is "partial 16S ribosomal RNA". It matches the Rfam family "Bacterial small subunit ribosomal RNA", at positions 1315 to 1533 of the family's 1533-position model. Lineage: Bacteria; Bacillati; Bacillota; Clostridia; Peptostreptococcales; Peptostreptococcaceae. The record is from RNAcentral.